UACGUAGGGUGCAAGCGUUAAUCGGAAUUACUGGGCGUAAAGCGUGCGCAGGCGGUUCGCUAAGACAGAUGUGAAAUCCCCGGGCUUAACCUGGGAACUGCAUUUGUGACUGGCGGGCUAGAGUAUGGCAGAGGGGAGUGGAAUUCCGCGUGUAGCAGUGAAAUGCGUAGAUAUGCGGAGGAACACCGAUGGCGAAGGCAAUCCCCUGGACCUGUACUGACGCUCAUGCGACGAAAGCGUGGGGAGCAAACGAGGAUACGAAACCCCAGU
RNAcentral lists this ribosomal RNA (270 nucleotides) under uncultured bacterium. Its description in RNAcentral is "partial 16S ribosomal RNA". It matches the Rfam family "Bacterial small subunit ribosomal RNA", at positions 524 to 791 of the family's 1533-position model. The record is from RNAcentral.